RNAcentral lists this ribosomal RNA (465 nucleotides) under uncultured bacterium. Its description in RNAcentral is "SSU rRNA". It matches the Rfam family "Bacterial small subunit ribosomal RNA", at positions 26 to 523 of the family's 1533-position model. The record is from RNAcentral.
AGAAUCAACGCUGGCGGCGUGCCUAACACAUGCAAGUCGCACGAGAAAGGGUAGCAAUACCUGAGUACAGUGGCGCACGGGUGAGUAACACGUGAAUAAUCUACCUCCGAGUGGGGAAUAACUGAGAGAAAUCUUAGCUAAUACCGCAUAACACUUACGAGUCAAAGCAGCAAUGCGCUUGGAGAGGAGUUCGCGGCAGAUUAGUUAGUUGGCGGGGUAAUGGCCCACCAAGACGAUGAUCUGUAUCCGGCCUGAGAGGGCGCACGGACACACUGGAACUGAAACACGGUCCAGACUCCUACGGGAGGCAGCAGUGGGGAAUUUUGCGCAAUGGGGGAAACCCUGACGCAGCAACGCCGCGUGGAGGAUGAAAUAUCUUGGUAUGUAAACUCCUUUCGAUGGGGAAGAUUAUGACGGUACCCAUAGAAGAAGCCCCGGCUAACUUCGCGCCAGCAGCCGCGGUAA